This 253-nucleotide ribosomal RNA is filed under the name uncultured bacterium. RNAcentral describes it as "partial 16S ribosomal RNA". It matches the Rfam family "Bacterial small subunit ribosomal RNA", at positions 524 to 776 of the family's 1533-position model. The record is from RNAcentral.
UACAGAGGGGGCAAGCGUUGUUCGGAAUUACUGGGCGUAAAGGGCGCGUAGGCGGCCUGUUAAGUCGGACGUGAAAUCCCUCGGCUCAACCGGGGAACUGCGUCCGAUACUGGCGGGCUUGAAUUCGGGAGAGGGAUGUGGAAUUCCAGGUGUAGCGGUGAAAUGCGUAGAUAUCUGGAGGAACACCGGUGGCGAAGGCGGCUCACUGGCUCGGUACUGACGCUGAGGCGCGAAAGCGUGGGGAGCAAACAGG